UCCCGCUGAGGGAAUCUUUUCUCAGAUCUAAAAAGUCUGGGGAAUAAGGGGAGGGCAAGUCUGGUGUCAGCCGCCGCGGUAAUACCAGCUCCUCGAGUGGUCAGGGCGUUUAUUGGGCCUAAAGCAUCCGUAGCCGGCUCAGUAGGUCUCCUGUUAAAUCCAACGGCUUAACCGUUGGUCUGCAGGAGAUACCGCUGGGCUAGGAGGCGGGAGAGGCGGACGGUACUCCGAGGGUAGGGGUAAAAUCCUUUGAUCCCCGGAAGACCACCAGUGGCGAAGGCGGUCCGCCAGAACGCGCUCGACGGUGAGGGAUGAAAGCUGGGGGAGCGAACCGGAUUAGAUACCCCCGUAGUCC
RNAcentral lists this ribosomal RNA (355 nucleotides) under uncultured bacterium. RNAcentral's name for it is "bacterial SSU rRNA". It matches the Rfam family "Archaeal small subunit ribosomal RNA", at positions 390 to 747 of the family's 1478-position model. The record is from RNAcentral.